ACAAAUCGGCUACAACAACAAGUAGUGAACUUAACCAGCAAGGAAAUCUUUCAACUCCGCCAAAUCCGAAGUCGUCCAAAGAAUAUAAAAAUUGAAACUCAAGCUUUGAAUGGGCGAUGUAGCCUUCUGCUAAUGGAUUCUAGAAAUGACAAUGAAAAAGAAUGAAGAAGAAAAAGCCGAGAGCUUCAGAGGCGCUGCUUUUUUAGGGGAGGGGUCUGUCUCCUACAGAUUUU
RNAcentral lists this long non-coding RNA (233 nucleotides) under Nicotiana benthamiana. RNAcentral's name for it is "long non-coding RNA (NBEN_LNC035411)". The record is from RNAcentral. Lineage: Eukaryota; Viridiplantae; Streptophyta; Magnoliopsida; Solanales; Solanaceae.